This 463-nucleotide ribosomal RNA is filed under the name uncultured bacterium. RNAcentral's name for it is "bacterial SSU rRNA". It matches the Rfam family "Bacterial small subunit ribosomal RNA", at positions 355 to 810 of the family's 1533-position model. The record is from RNAcentral.
UGGGGAAUUUUGGACAAUGGGGGAAACCCUGAUCCAGCAAUGCCGCGUGUGUGAAGAAGGCCUUCGGGUUGUAAAGCACUUUUGUCCGGAAAGAAAACUUCUGCCCUAAUACGGCGGGAGGAUGACGGUACCGGAAGAAUAAGCACCGGCUAACUACGUGCCAGCGGCCGCGGUAAUACGUAGGGUGCGAGCGUUAAUCGGAAUUACUGGGCGUAAAGCGUGCGCAGGCGGUUCGUUAAGACAGAUGUGAAAUCCCCGGGCUUAACCUGGGAACUGCAUUUGUGACUGGCGAGCUAGAGUAUGGCAGAGGGGGGUAGAAUUCCACGUGUAGCAGUGAAAUGCGUAGAGAUGUGGAGGAAUACCGAUGGCGAAGGCAGCCCCCUGGGCCAAUACUGACGCUCAUGCACGAAAGCGUGGGGAGCAAACAGGAUUAGAUACCCUGGUAGUCCACGCCCUAAACGAU